GUAGGCCUGGCCAGUGUUAUUCUCCCCCACAGGCUCUGGGUCUGCCGUCUUUCACUGAUGAUUUUGUGUUUCUCCGCUUCAGUUGGAGCUCCUUCAUCUGUAAGGAGUCAUUUCUUUUUCUUCACAAUAGGAAGGAAUCUUCACAGACAUCAGUUAAACACACUGGGAGAACAACGGAGGACGGCAACAGUGUCCAUCUGACAUCAGUCACUACAGGUCUCUUCUUCCUUUUGGGCAGCAGCUGUGAAGAUGGCUGCUCCUUACUGGGUUUCUGUAGUGGUCAUUUUUUUGAUGACUGUUAGAAACGGUGAGACUGUUAUUGACCCAAACAACCUCGCACCAAUUGUAGAAGACAUUCUGAACAGGUACACACCAAGCUACGAUGGUGCAGACGACAACAGAAUUCCCCCCAUGUUCAGUGUGGCUGUGAGCGUCCCGUACAAUAAACAAACAAACAUGUAUGAUAUGAGCAAAGUCCCUGAUGAUGGUGAAGAUGUGAGGAAGACCAUUCUAAACUGUGACGUAUACAAAGGUGACAGAGUGGUGGCAGCCACAGUGCUGAGAUGGCCCAAUGUUCUAACUCAGUGCCCUGAUGCUCAAGUACAGUAGGAUGAUGUUUUGAAGGAAUGUGGUAAACAGCAGAUGACAUGGGCUGAAGUUAAGUUGUGUGGUAAAAUUAAAAUCCAGGAUCACAGAGCUGAUCAUGCAGAGUUUCGAACCCUGCAGGAUUUUCAACCUUUACUCGCAACACAAUCCAAAGAUGAUCUGAUGGUUUUCUACGUCCGUGCCUCCCCAUGUGAUCAGAGAUGUACCAAAAAAGUCAACGAUCGGAAUAUUCUCAUUAGCAUACAAGAGAUAAUGCACUGGAAGGAUUAUGUUGUUGUGUUUUCAGAUGUAUUUAGACCUCGUGAUGGUGGGCAAAUACUUGUGAAUAACCCGCGUGGAUCACUUGAGAGGCUUGGGAAGGCAAUCGGAGAUCCAGGGUCAAAUGGUCUUCAGCAUAUAUUCCGAUGCUACAGGCAGCAAGAAAUGGAUGAAAAUGAAAUGGAGUGCUUUAGCUGCAAUAACAAUGGUAAGGUUGCACUUAGAUGUAUUUUAGGUUAGGUUACCGACCUAAAAAAGCAAACUAUCUGAUGUUUGGAAAAGUUAGGAUAGUGGGGAGAAAGAGAAUAAGAGCAAGAAGAAGCAGAGGAGUAACAGAACAUGGGGCUGAAUGCAGAGAGGAGGAGUAAUGAGAGAAAAUCAUCAGAAUUAACCAGAGAGGGAAAAAGAAAAACAGAAAAUGUAAUCCGUGCUUUGCAUCGUUUUCCUGCAUCCAUGAUUAACUUUAAAUGUGUGUGUACGUCACAGCAAGAUUAACAUGUGCUCCUGAAAUCACAGCUGCAUCGUGCACUCUGGUCAUUCUAGUCCACGAUACUGUCUGUGCCUCUGAUUGUGUCUGUGAACUGAAACACAAACAGUGUGUGUGGAGCGAGUGUAAUCCAUUUAUAGCCUCUGAUACUGUUUCUGAUUAAAGCUUAAUAAACUGCAUUAAAACUGUU
Molecule: long non-coding RNA, 1541 nt
Organism: Oreochromis aureus
Lineage: Eukaryota; Metazoa; Chordata; Actinopteri; Cichliformes; Cichlidae
Exons: 6
Source: RefSeq, a predicted model, not a curated record